AGAGUUUGAUCAUGGCUCAGAUUGAACGCUGGCGGCAUGCCUUACACAUGCAAGUCGAACGGCAGCACGGGAGCAAUCCUGGUGGCGAGUGGCGAACGGGUGAGUAAUACAUCGGAACGUGCCCAAUCGUGGGGGAUAACGCAGCGAAAGCUGUGCUAAUACCGCAUAAGAUCUACGGAUGAAAGCAGGGGAUCGCAAGACCUUGCGCGAGUGGAGCGGCCGAUGGCAGAUUAGGUAGUUGGUGAGGUAAAGGCUCACCAAGCCGACGAUCUGUAGCUGGUCUGAGAGGACGACCAGCCACACUGGGACUGAGACACGGCCCAGACUCCUACGGGAGGCAGCAGUGGGGAAUUUUGGACAAUGGGCGCAAGCCUGAUCCAGCCAUGCCGCGUGCAGGAUGAAGGCCUUCGGGUUGUAAACUGCUUUUGUACGGAACGAAAAGGUUCUUUCUAAUAAAGAGGGCCCAUGACGGUACCGUAAGAAUAAGCACCGGCUAACUACGUGCCAGCAGCCGCGGUAAUACGUAGGGUGCAAGCGUUAAUCGGAAUUACUGGGCGUAAAGCGUGCGCAGGCGGUGAUGUAAGACAGUUGUGAAAUCCCCGGGCUCAACCUGGGAACUGCAUCUGUGACUGCAUCGCUGGAGUGCGGCAGAGGGGGAUGGAAUUCCGCGUAGCAGUGAAAUGCGUAGAUAUGCGGAGGAACACCGAUGGCGAAGGCAAUCCCCUGGGCCUGCACUGNNNNUCAUGCGCGAAAGCGUGGGGAGCAAACAGGAUUAGAUACCCUAGUAGUCC
RNAcentral lists this ribosomal RNA (791 nucleotides) under uncultured bacterium. Its description in RNAcentral is "bacterial SSU rRNA". It matches the Rfam family "Bacterial small subunit ribosomal RNA", at positions 8 to 796 of the family's 1533-position model. The record is from RNAcentral.